Molecule: RNA transcript, 2298 nt
Organism: Chroicocephalus ridibundus (black-headed gull)
Lineage: Eukaryota; Metazoa; Chordata; Aves; Charadriiformes; Laridae
Gene: FKBP6
Gene name: FKBP prolyl isomerase family member 6 (inactive)
Exons: 9
Source: RefSeq, a predicted model, not a curated record
GCUCCUCGGAGCGUGAUUGGCUGAAAGCGCAGAGCGGGGCGGGCUGUGAUUGGUGCAGAGGGCGCGCGGCGCGGGGCGGCAGGCGAUGGCGGGGGGCGGCGGGGCGGAGGGCGAGGUCUGGCCCCGGCCUGGUCCCGAGAGCGGGCCGCAGCCGGCGGGGCGGGCAGCGGCCGUGUUCCCCUUCCAGUGGCUGUCACGGGCCUGCGACCUGAGCAGCGAUGGCGGGGUGCGCAAGGAGGAGCUGCGACCUGGCAGCGGGCAGGCCAUACCCCCGGGUGCCUCCUUGGCAGUGAAGUACUCCGGGUACCUGGAACACUGUGAUGAGCCCUUCUGCACAAACUGCUACAACAAGUCUCUUAGGCUGAUGAAACUUGGAAAAGAUAUUACGCUGCUGGGCCUGGAAAUUGGCCUGCUGACAAUGAAGAAGGGAGAGGUGGCAAGAUUUGUCUUCACGCCAGAUUAUGCCUACGGGCAGCAGGGCUGUCCUCCUCUUAUUCCCCCAAACGCCACAGUCAUGUUUGAAGUGGAGGUGCUGGAUUUCCUAGACUCGGAUGAAUCUGACGCAUUCUUUGAAUUGACUGCUGAGCAGCAGGAUACAUUUCCACUACAAAAGGUGUUGAAAGUGGCAGACACAGAGAGAGAGUUUGGCAACUACCUCUACCGUAAGCAGCAGUUCGAGGGUGCUAAAGAGAGAUACAAAAGGGCCUUCUCGAUCCUCGGUCGCAGCCCUUCCAGCGAGGCAGAGCAGUGUCAGAUUGAUACUUCCAAGUUGCUGGUGCUUCUGAAUCUCUCGCUUACUUACCUGAAACUGGAACGUCCUGCCCAAGCUUUGGCAUACGGGGAGAAGGCCUUGGAGAUUGACCAAAAAAACGCCAAAGCGCUGUUCAGGUGUGGCCAGGCUUGUCUGUGCAUGACAGAAUACAAAAAAGCACGGGAUUUCCUGGUCCGAGCUCAGCACAUACAGCCAUUUAACCACGAUAUUAACAAUGAGCUGAAAAAGUUGGCAAGCUGCUACAGGGACUACAUGGAAAAGGAGAAAGAAAUGUGCUGCCGAAUGUUUGCCCCUCUCAACUCGUCUUCUGGCUAACCAGAGAAAAAAGGACCUCACCAGCUGACAAAAAGAGUGGAUCUUGGACAGGAUGGAAACCUACCUCUGGGCACACGGAGAUCUUGGCAUCGUGUCUAUGUUUUGGGAAGAGGUGCAAGAGCACUGUUUUGUUUUGAGAGCGUGAAAUGGAGGUUCUGUGGUUAUACACAACCUAUUUUCUAGACUUUGGUUUGUUUGCCAUAUUCUGAGGCUGUUGCCGGAAGAACCAAGUCCUGCUGCAGAAGGGAAGAAGGUGUUCCCCCUCCCUUGCGUACUCUUUGAAGAAAACUUUCCUGACACCCUACUUCUUGCUUUUACAGGAUCUGUAAACGGGAGUAGGAUGCUGUGAAGUUCUGUAUUGUUUAUACAGAUUGUUCUGAUAACCUGCUUUUAUCGGAAGCUGAUACCUCUUCCCUACAAGCAACGGAGAACUUUGUGCUUCCUGACUGUGGGAUAAGAUAGUUCUGAAGACAUAAGCGGGGCCCGGUUUCCCAGCAGGAGAUGGCUGUGCCUUUCAUGGAGCCUCCUCAGGCUCUGCUCUGACGCGGGGCGUGCUGGCAUUUCUCUGACAGCCUUUAGGUGCUGGGGUUGAGCGAGCACAGGCAGCUGGAUCAGCUAAUGGAGACUUGGCGCAUCCGUGGCCAUUGAUGACCUUGCAAAGGCCGGAGUUUCUGCUCUCCAAGCUGCAGGGACGAAACUCAUUGGGGAAGGGCGUUGCACCCGCUCAAUCUGAAACAUAGAAAUACAUGUCAGUGGGAUGGCUCGCUGUGGCACAUUGUAAGCCUCUGGAAGGUCUGCUCCUGUCGUCCGCUGCCAGCGGUGCACGCUGCAGGAACAGCAACUGCCCUCCCCUCGGCUGUCGCCCAGUCCAGGCCAGUAACUUGUAUUUGACCUAGAGUCUGCCUCCAGGUUGAUGGCCAGUUUACUGCUGCGUGAGAGCCUUCCUGUGGUUAACUAGACUUUGAUGACGUGCGUUUUUCAAUUUUUUCUUACCAAAUAAUGGUGAAAAAUUACUUUCCUGAUUUUUUUUUUUUUUUUAAUUAAAGGAAGAAAUACAAACUUUCAGCCUCUGGGCAAAAUCAAAGAUGUGCUUGGAUCUUGACUAGGCAUUAAAACAGAAAUACAAGUCCUUGAGCAAAACAGACAAAAAUCUCUGCAGGGAACUUCGCUUUCUGAUUGUUAAUAAAAAAAAAAAAAAGUGGACCUUUGAG